GGCUCAGCGCCUGGCGAGUCCUCCGCUUGUACUGAGACGCCUGGGAUCUCAAAAUGGCGGCCCCGUGCGGAAACAGCGUCUGGGAGCAGUCAUGUUGCCUCCUGAACAAAGCCGCUGAAGAUGAAGAAUGGGCAAAAUCGCCCCAUACGGAACAGCGCAGCCUCGGGAGCCCGUUACCUGGCUCGCGAACACGAAGCGGGAGAGUUCGCCAAUAUGGAUGUGACAGCGGUUCCCAUUAAGCGGUGAUAGGAUUUUUGGGACCUGAUAAUCAAGCUAGGGACCUGAUUCCUCAGACCUCUGCCCUAUCGGAAGGGAAGCAGAAAAUGAUCAGGUCUCAGGGUCCAGUGUCAUUUGAGGAUGUGGCUGUGGAUUUCACCCAGGAGGAGUGGCAGCAACUGGACUAUGCUCAGAGGACCCUGUACAGGGAUGUGAUGCUGGAGAUCUAUAGCCACCUGGUCUCAAUGGGAUAUCCAGUUUCCAAACCAGAUGUCAUCUCCAAGUUGGAACAAGGAGAAGAGCCAUGGAUCAUAAAGAGACACAUACCAAAUUGGAUCUAUCCAGACAGAGAGAGUAGACUUGACACCCCUCAACUGGAUAUAUUUAGAGAUGUUUUCUUCCAUAAGGAGACACUGGAAAGUAUUACAAGGGGUCAUUCAUUGUACUCCAUUUUAAAAGUCUGGCAAGGUGAUGACCAGCUGGAGAGAGAUCAGGAAAACUGAGACAAAUUUGUCAGGCAAGUUGUAGUCAUCAACAACAAAAGAAUAUCUGAAGAGUCAGGUCAUCCAUAUAAUAUAUUUGGAAAAAUAUUUCAUGACUGCACAGACCUAGAUACUUCAAAACAAAGACUGUGUAAGUGUGAUUCAUUUGAAAAGACCUUGAAACCAAAUAUUAACCUAGUGAGUUAUAAUAGGAAUUUUGCAAGAAAAAACAUUGAUGAGAAUUUUAGAUGUGGGAAAACACCUAGCUACAGUUCUUGCUAUUCUAAGCAUGAAAAAAAUCAUAGUGGAAUGAUACACUGUGAAGCUACUCAUUGUGGAAAGAUUCUUAGCAAUAAACAAUCUCUUAUUCAUUAUGUGAAUGUUGAAACUGGGGAGAAGACCUAUGUAUGUGUUGAAUGUGGAAAAUCCUUUCUCAAGAAGUCACAGAUUAUUAUACAUCAAAGAAUUCAUACUGGAGAGAAACCUUAUGAUUGUGGUGCAUGUGGAAAAGCCUUCAGUGAGAAGUCACACCUUAUUGCACAUCAGAGAACUCAUACUGGGGAGAAACCUUAUGAUUGUUCUGAAUGUGGAAAAGGCUUUUCUCAGAAAUCAUCCCUCAUUAUACAUCAGAGAGUUCACACUGGGGAAAAACCAUAUGAAUGUAGUGAAUGUGAGAAAGCCUUCUCCCAGAAAUCACCCCUCAUUAUACAUCAGAGAAUACAUACUGGGGAAAAGCCCUAUGAAUGUAGAGUGUGGGAAAGCCUUUUCCCAGAGUCACAGCUGAUUAUACAUCACAGAGCUCAUACUGGAGAGAAGCCAUGUAAGUGUACUGAAUGUGGGAAAGCAUUCUGUUUUAUACAUUAAAGAGUUCACACUGGUGAGAAACCCUACAAAUGUGCUCAAUGUGAGGAAGCCUUCAGCAGGAAGUCAGAACUCAUUAUACAUCAGAUAAUUCAUACUGGGGAGAAACCGUAUGAAUGUACAGAAUGUGGGAAAACAUUCUCUCGCAAGUCACAACUCAUCAUACAUCAGAGAACCCACACUGGAGAGAAACCCUAUAAAUGUACCAAAUGUGGAAAAUCCUUCUGUCAGCAGUCACAUCUCAUUGGACAUCAGAGAAUUCACACGGGAGAACAACCUUAUGUAUGUUCUGAAUGUGGGAAAGCCUUCUCUCAGAAGUCUCACCUCCCAGGGCAUUGGUGAAUUCAUACAGGAGAGAAACCUUACAUAUGUGCUGAAUGUGGAAAGGCCUUUUCUCAGAAGUCAGACCUUGUUGUACAUCAGAUAAUUCAUACUGGAGAGAAACCUGAUCGAUGUACUGUAUGUGGGAAGGCCUUCAUCCAGAAGUCCCAACUCACUGUACAUCAGAGAAUUCAUACACUAAUGAAAUCAUAAGAAUGGUCUGAACACAGAAAAGCCUUCAGGGUCAGUUCAAGCCUUAAUAGAUAGUGCAACAACCAAUGGAUUUGAUGAUUUUGGGGACUACAUCUUUGUUGAUAAAAUUUUACAAGUGAAGUCAUGUUCCUAAUGUAUUUCAUUCUUUAUCAAAGAUAAUAGAGAAGUCAAUACGUAAAUGAUGGACAUUUUCACUAUGGCAUAUAAAAGUUUUUAAAUUGAGAAAUGAAUGAUUAGCAUAACAGAACGAAUUGCAUGUACAUCUCUUUUGAAGUUAUGUGCUCCUGAUUAUACUACAUAACAAUCAGAUAUGUGUAAGAUUGUUAA
Molecule: RNA transcript, 2420 nt
Organism: Homo sapiens (human)
Lineage: Eukaryota; Metazoa; Chordata; Mammalia; Primates; Hominidae
Gene: ZNF300P1
Gene name: zinc finger protein 300 pseudogene 1
Exons: 5
Source: RefSeq, marked validated